RNAcentral lists this ribosomal RNA (833 nucleotides) under Alternaria gaisen. RNAcentral's name for it is "partial large subunit ribosomal RNA". It matches the Rfam family "Eukaryotic large subunit ribosomal RNA", at positions 88 to 939 of the family's 3401-position model. The record is from RNAcentral. Lineage: Eukaryota; Fungi; Ascomycota; Dothideomycetes; Pleosporales; Pleosporaceae.
GGCGAGUGAAGCGGCAACAGCUCAAAUUUGAAAUCUGGCUCUUUUAGAGUCCGAGUUGUAAUUUGCAGAGGGCGCUUUGGCUUUGGCAGCGGUCCAAGUUCCUUGGAACAGGACGUCACAGAGGGUGAGAAUCCCGUACGUGGUCGCUGGCUAUUGCCGUGUAAAGCCCCUUCGACGAGUCGAGUUGUUUGGGAAUGCAGCUCUAAAUGGGAGGUACAUUUCUUCUAAAGCUAAAUAUUGGCCAGAGACCGAUAGCGCACAAGUAGAGUGAUCGAAAGAUGAAAAGCACUUUGGAAAGAGAGUCAAACAGCACGUGAAAUUGUUGAAAGGGAAGCGCUUGCAGCCAGACUUGCUUACAGUUGCUCAUCCGGGUUUUUACCCGGUGCACUCUUCUGUAGGCAGGCCAGCAUCAGUUUGGGCGGUAGGAUAAAGGUCUCUGUCACGUACCUCCUUUCGGGGAGGCCUUAUAGGGGAGACGACAUACUACCAGCCUGGACUGAGGUCCGCGCAUCUGCUAGGAUGCUGGCGUAAUGGCUGUAAGCGGCCCGUCUUGAAACACGGACCAAGGAGUCUAACAUCUAUGCGAGUGUUUGGGUGUCAAGCCCGAGCGCGUAAUGAAAGUGAACGGAGGUGGGAACCCGCAAGGGUGCACCAUCGACCGAUCCUGAUGUCUUCGGAAGGAUUUGAGUAAGAGCAUGGCUGUUGGGACCCGAAAGAUGGUGAACUAUGCUUGAAUAGGGUGAAGCCAGAGGAAACUCUGGUGGAGGCUCGCAGCGGUUCUGACGUGCAAAUCGAUCGUCAAAUUUGGGCAUAGGGGCGAAAGACUAAUCGAA